Molecule: ribosomal RNA, 456 nt
Filed under: uncultured bacterium
Lineage: Bacteria
Description: bacterial SSU rRNA
Rfam family: Bacterial small subunit ribosomal RNA
Source: RNAcentral
AUAUGGCUCAGAGCGAACGCUGGCGGCAGGCCUAAAACAUGCAAGUCGAACGCCGUAGCAAUACGGAGUGGCAGACGGGUGAGUAACGCGUGGGAACGUACCCUUUGGUCCGGAACAACACAGGGAAACUUGUGCUAAUACCGGAUAAGCCCUUACGGGGAAAGAUUUAUCGCCAAAGGAUCGGCCCGCGUCUGAUUAGCUUGUUGGUGAGGUAACGGCUCACCAAGGCUACGAUCAGUAGCUGGUCUGAGAGGAUGAUCAGCCACACUGGGACUGAGACACGGCCCAGACUCCUACGGGAGGCAGCAGUUAGGAAUCUUGGACAAUGGGCGCAAGCCUGAUCCAAGCCAUGCCGCGUGAGUGAUGGAGGCCUUAGGGUUGUAAAGCUCUUUCAGCGGGGAAGAUAAUGACGGUACCCGCAGAAGAAGCCCCGGCUAACUUCGUGCCAGCAGCCGC